Long non-coding RNA from Penaeus chinensis, 716 nucleotides. RefSeq lists it as uncharacterized. The transcript is spliced from 3 exons. The record is from RefSeq and is a predicted model, not a curated record. NCBI's taxonomy places the organism in Eukaryota, Metazoa, Arthropoda, Malacostraca, Decapoda, Penaeidae.
CGAGAGAAGUAUUAUUUUCAGAAACGAACUUAUGGCGAGAAUACAUUUUCUGGUAGCUUUGGUUGCCGCUCUCUUAUUGGCAGUCGGGGUGACUUCACAAUCUGACGUUGCACGACUACGACGAACGAUACAUCUGCCGCCACCUUUAGUAAGGGAAGACGCAGUUGUCAAACUCUAAGUUAUGGUAUUUAACGCCUAUGUGUUAGCUGUGUGGAUACCACAUGCAUGCACAUAAAACAAUGUUUGUAUAUGUAUACACAUGUGUGUGUGUGACUGUGUGAGAGAGAGAGAGAGAGAGAGAGAGAGAGAGAGAGAGAGAGAGAGAGAGAGAGAAUGAGUCAGUCAGUCAGUUACUUGGCAUAUAAUUGAAACGAUACCAAUAUUUGAUAAAAAAAAUAUAUUUUUGAUUUCCUUCUACUCAUCUUUAUUACCUUCAAAUUACGGUUAUCUGUGGUUCAAAUCCUUCAUGAUUAAAAUCAUUAAUGAUAGAUUUCCACAUCCGAAGAUAUUGAAAAUUGACAUCCGAUUCAACUUUAAUUGUGAUACUAAUAAUAAAAGUACUAUUAGUAACAGUCGUCAUAGUAGUAAUAGUAGUGGUGGUGCCAGUAAUAGAGCUGUAGAAACAUACGGAGAGUAAAAAUCUUAAUGUCGACCAAACUAUUUCUUCCAGAAAUGUUAGGAAAGCGAAGUAAUGUACAAUCAGCAUUAAUAAAAAU